GCCAGAUUGGAUAAUUUCAUACUGGAAUUCGAUUUUACAUCAGAAUGACCAUUCAAUCGAGUAGUACUACCCAUUGCAUAUGGUUCAAGACGCGAAAUAUCCACAACCCACACUCCAACACAACUUUGAUUGUAAGAGCAGCCAAGGAGUUUGCCUUCGUGAAUAUUAAGAUCUGACAAUCGAGACCAUCCAACAUCUACUGUAUCAUGACAUUUAAUUGGUUCCCACGAGCAAACCUUCAAACUCUCAUGCAAACCACAGAGAAGGGUUCUUCCAUCGGGAUUGAAGGUCAUACAGCGCACCCCUGAUGUCUCAGGUCCAGAUGAACCUAUGAGCUCAAAAGUUUCAAGGUCCCAGAAUUUUACAGUUCUGUCAGCAGAACCUGUUGCAAGUAGAAACUCAUGGGGGUGAAAGUCUAUACACUGAAUCUGCCCUUCAUGACAUUUGAAAUCGUGUAAAAGCUUUCCUGCAGUCAAAUCCCAUAGCUUGACAGUAUUGUCUUCCCCACCAGAUACAACCCAUCGGCCAUCUGGAGUGAACCUGAU
Molecule: unclassified non-coding RNA, 545 nt
Filed under: Hevea brasiliensis (rubber tree)
Lineage: Eukaryota; Viridiplantae; Streptophyta; Magnoliopsida; Malpighiales; Euphorbiaceae
Source: RNAcentral